RNAcentral lists this unclassified non-coding RNA (240 nucleotides) under soil metagenome. RNAcentral's name for it is "partial contains 5.8S ribosomal RNA, internal transcribed spacer 2, and large subunit ribosomal RNA". The record is from RNAcentral.
AACGCACGAGACCUGCGGACCUGCGGAGGGAUCAUUAGUGAGAAACUGCCCCUCGCGGGUAGAUCUCCCACCCUUUGUAAACUUACCUUUGUUGCUUUGGCAGGCCCGUCUCCGGACCGCCGGCUUCGGCUGGCCAGUGCCUGCCAGAGGAUUCUAAAACUCUGUCUGUCAGUGUUGUCUGAGUCUAUAUACAAUCGUUAAAACUUUCAACAACGGAUCUCUAGAUCGGAAGAGCACACG